Molecule: long non-coding RNA, 457 nt
Organism: Herpailurus yagouaroundi (jaguarundi)
Lineage: Eukaryota; Metazoa; Chordata; Mammalia; Carnivora; Felidae
Exons: 2
Source: RefSeq, a predicted model, not a curated record
ACACCUUACUGUGUAUAAUCCACUUCUCAACUCAAAGGACUGAGUGAUCACAUCAAUGAAAGCUUGUUGGUGGUGGUGGUGGAGGGGGGGGCGGGUUAUAUUAGCAGGAGCCUCUUUUACUUAGUCUUCUUAGCAUGCUGACAAGGCCACUGCUUACUCUGCUUCCUUUAGCUGGGUUAGUCCAAGUACAAGGAGGUCUCAUUCAUUUGUGAAUGCAUUUAAUUUCUAGGGAAAGCAACUCAUGCAAGUGUGCUCAUUCUUAGCAGUGUGCCUUGGGAAAGUCAACGUUACCUCUCCAUGUCUGACUUUUCUCCUCUGUACAAAUGUACAGAGAAGAAAGAAAAUCAGAAGAUUGAGUCUUACUGUCCUGACAGGUAUCCUGAGAUGUGUUAUCUUAAGGGAACACUUUUCUGGAACAGAAAAGAACUUCCAACUAAUACGGCUACUUCUAAGGUAA